RNAcentral lists this ribosomal RNA (465 nucleotides) under uncultured bacterium. Its description in RNAcentral is "partial 16S ribosomal RNA". It matches the Rfam family "Bacterial small subunit ribosomal RNA", at positions 338 to 795 of the family's 1533-position model. The record is from RNAcentral.
CCUACGGGCGGCAGCAGUGGGGAAUUUUGGACAAUGGGCGCAAGCCUGAUCCAGCUAUUCCGCGUGUGGGAAGACGGCCUUCGGGUUGUAAACCACUUUUGUAGAGAACGAAAAGUCUAUUGAUCAUACCGAUAGAUGAUGACGGUACUCUAAGAAUAAGCACCGGCUAACUACGUGCCAGCAGCCGCGGUAAUACGUAGGGUGCGAGCGUUAAUCGGAAUUACUGGGCGUAAAGGGUGUGCAGGCGGUUUUGCUAGAUGGAUGUGAAAGCCACGGGCUUAACCUGGGAAAGCCAUACAUGACUGCAAGACUAGAGUGCGUCAGAGGGGGGUGGAAUUCCAAGUGUAGCAGUGAAAUGCGUAGAUAUUUGGAAGAACACCGAUGGCGAAGGCAGCCCCCUGGGACGCAACUGACGCUCAUACACGAAAGCGUGGGGAGCAAACAGGAUUAGAUACCCGAGUAGUC